CACACCGCCCGUCACGCCAUGGGAGUUGGUUUCACCCGAAGGUGGUGCGCUAGCCCGCAAGGGAGGCAGCCAACCACGGUGGGAUCAGCGACUGGGGUG
This 99-nucleotide ribosomal RNA is filed under the name uncultured bacterium. RNAcentral describes it as "partial 16S ribosomal RNA". It matches the Rfam family "Bacterial small subunit ribosomal RNA", at positions 1386 to 1482 of the family's 1533-position model. The record is from RNAcentral.